This 479-nucleotide long non-coding RNA is filed under the name Monodelphis domestica (gray short-tailed opossum). RNAcentral's name for it is "lncRNA (ENSMODG00000035041.2)". Lineage: Eukaryota; Metazoa; Chordata; Mammalia; Didelphimorphia; Didelphidae. The record is from RNAcentral.
CAAAGGAAAAGACUUCUGAAUCAAGUUCCAAGUCAGAGUUUGAGCGUUUCAUUUUGUGUAGCCUUCUAAAGUUGGUAUGAGCAGAUGAUGAAGACUUACUUCCUGAGGCUUUCAAUCUGUUGGGGCACCAGAGUGCUCUCUUCUCCAGUGGCUACCAGGUGUCUGGAGAUCAGCCUGUCUGGCUCAUGUAAAAGUCAAGGGCUGGGGAUGAUGCUGUUAGAGACAAUACACAGAAGGGACUGCACCCAUGGAGGAGCAAAGUAUUUUGGAAAACUAAAAGGAUGACAUGUAACUGAGAAGAUGCCAAAAUUUGAACAUUUCCACCUUGACUCUGACCUAAAACUCUAUUAAAUAUAACAAGACACUUCUUCCUCCCUUCCUUGUGUAUUCUGAAUUUAAUGUUAUAUGAUGCUGUAACAAAGAUUUAUGUUUGGGUUGGACUAGAGCACCUCUGAGAAUUAAGAUUUAUAAGAGUAGAU